AACGAACGCUGGCGGCAGGCUUAAACACAUGCAAGUCGAACGCCCCGCAAGGGGAGUGGCAGACGGGUGAGUAACGCGUGGGAACGUACCUUUCAGUUCGGAAUAACUCAGGGAAACUUGUGCUAAUACCGGAUACGCCCGCAAGGGGAAAGAUUUAUCGCUGAAAGAUCGGCCCGCGUUGGAUUAGCUAGUUGGUGGGGUAAAGGCCUACCAAGGCGACGAUCCAUAGCUGGCCUGAGAGGAUGAUCAGCCACACUGGGACUGAGACACGGCCCAGACUCCUACGGGAGGCAGCAGUGGGAAUAUUGGACAAUGGGCGCAAGCCUGAUCCAGCCAUGCCGCGUGUGUGAUGAAGGCCUUAGGGUUGUAAAGCACUUUCACCGAUGAAGAUAAUGACGGUAGUCGGAGAAGAAGCCCCGGCUAACUUCGUG
RNAcentral lists this ribosomal RNA (431 nucleotides) under uncultured bacterium. Its description in RNAcentral is "bacterial SSU rRNA". It matches the Rfam family "Bacterial small subunit ribosomal RNA", at positions 29 to 507 of the family's 1533-position model. The record is from RNAcentral.